UGUAUCUGAAGCCUGACGAGGAUGAGAACCUCCGGGGGCAAGAGGUUCGACCCGAGCGAAGCGAGAGAACGUUGCGGCAGCAACGGCCCGCAGUGGCGAGUCACGCAGUGGCGAGUCAUCCUCUAUCACCGACCA
RNAcentral lists this small RNA (135 nucleotides) under Salmonella enterica subsp. enterica serovar Derby. RNAcentral describes it as "RtT sRNA". It matches the Rfam family "RtT RNA". Rfam says of the family: This family represents a bacterial cis-regulatory element known as RtT RNA. Lineage: Bacteria; Pseudomonadati; Pseudomonadota; Gammaproteobacteria; Enterobacterales; Enterobacteriaceae. RNAcentral also lists the same sequence under 2 other names. The record is from RNAcentral.